UCGUGGUGGCUCACUGGGCCUAUAAAUUCACCACGCUCUCUUCCCCCUUCAUCCAAAUCAAUCGAGCACAGCUCUUCGUCCCUUCGUUGCGAAGCCAACGAAUCACUAGUCACUCUAUUCUGUCCACCACCCUCAGUGAUCAUCGGAGUUCCCUUGAAUCGAUUUCUUCCGCCGCCGUGAAGAACCCCUCCGUGGCCAGCACUCCUCGGGACUUGGAGAACGCCGUGGCGCCGUCGGUGAACACCGUCUGGAAUGACCUCACCAUGGCGGACCUAGUCUGGAGCUGGUUGCGAGCACGCUCAUGGGUUGUUCCGCUUCGUGGAGAAGUUUUAUUCCCUUAUCUUUUGGUUAGUUACUUCAUGUGGAGGCCUUGAAGCUUAGAAUGUUUAUGUGUAUCU
Molecule: unclassified non-coding RNA, 398 nt
Filed under: Zea mays
Lineage: Eukaryota; Viridiplantae; Streptophyta; Magnoliopsida; Poales; Poaceae
Description: misc RNA Zm00001eb348420
Source: RNAcentral